UUAACAUGGAUAAAGAAUAUCUUACUUAUGAAAAUUAUUGGAUAAUCAAAAACCGAAUUACGUUUGAUGUAUAUUCGUAAUGAUGUGUAGUAUGGGGCAUUAAGAAGAAAAAUCGGAGGGACAUACGUAGGACUUUUUCAAAUCCUACGUUGAAGUGGAUGGGACAUAUGUGGAGGAAGGAUGGGUGGACAAAACAUGCAAGAUUUGC
This is a long non-coding RNA of Camelina sativa (false flax), 208 nucleotides long. RefSeq lists it as uncharacterized. NCBI's taxonomy places the organism in Eukaryota, Viridiplantae, Streptophyta, Magnoliopsida, Brassicales, Brassicaceae. The record is from RefSeq and is a predicted model, not a curated record.